GCUUGUUGCUAGGCCUACAUGAAUAAAGUAAAUUUUGUUUCAACCUGAUGAUUUUUUUACUAUGACGAGGAUCGCCAUAUGUAUGGGGUUUUCUUGGAAAACCGUGUUUUGUUUUUACAUAUUUUUUGCUCAUUUCAUUGAAAGGCGAUUCUCGUCAUAGUAAAAAAUCAUCAGUUUGCCAAGAUCUAUUAAAUGAGACAUGUUUCAUUUCUGUUGGUGGGUGGGGACAGUGCCCAUACAAAUUUGCCCAUGGUCCUUUAAAAUGGUGCAUUA
Long non-coding RNA from Cydia splendana, 273 nucleotides. RefSeq lists it as uncharacterized. The record is from RefSeq and is a predicted model, not a curated record. NCBI's taxonomy places the organism in Eukaryota, Metazoa, Arthropoda, Insecta, Lepidoptera, Tortricidae. The transcript has 3 exons.